This 74-nucleotide transfer RNA is filed under the name Minisyncoccota bacterium. Its description in RNAcentral is "tRNA-Gln". It matches the Rfam family "tRNA". From Rfam's summary of the family: Transfer RNA (tRNA) molecules are approximately 80 nucleotides in length. Their secondary structure includes four short double-helical elements and three loops (D, anti-codon, and T loops). Further hydrogen bonds mediate the characteristic L-shaped molecular structure. tRNAs have two regions of fundamental functional importance: the anti-codon, which is responsible for specific mRNA codon recognition, and the 3' end, to which the tRNAs corresponding amino acid is attached (by aminoacyl-tRNA synthetases). tRNAs cope with the degeneracy of the genetic code in two manners: having more than one tRNA (with a specific anti-codon) for a particular amino acid; and 'wobble' base-pairing, i.e. permitting non-standard base-pairing at the 3rd anti-codon position. The record is from RNAcentral. Lineage: Bacteria; Bacillati; Minisyncoccota.
UGCCGGAUCGUCUAAUGGUAGGACUUCGGUUUCUGGUACCGACUAUCGGGGUUCGAGUCCCUGUCCGGCAGCCA